RNAcentral lists this ribosomal RNA (484 nucleotides) under uncultured bacterium. Its description in RNAcentral is "partial 16S ribosomal RNA". It matches the Rfam family "Bacterial small subunit ribosomal RNA", at positions 30 to 507 of the family's 1533-position model. The record is from RNAcentral.
AUUGAACGCUAGCGGGAUGCUUUACACAUGCAAGUCGAACGGCAGCGCGGACUUCGGUCUGGCGGCGAGUGGCGAACGGGUGAGUAAUGUAUCGGAACGUGCCCAGUAGCGGGGGAUAACUACGCGAAAGCGUAGCUAAUACCGCAUACGCCCUACGGGGGAAAGCAGGGGAUCGUAAGACCUUGCACUAUUGGAGCGGCCGAUAUCGGAUUGGCUAGUUGGUGAGGUAACGGCUCACCAAGGCGACGAUCCGUAGCUGGUUUGAGAGGACGACCAGCCACACUGGGACUGAGACACGGCCCAGACUCCUACGGGAGGCAGCAGUGGGGAAUUUUGGACAAUGGGGGCAACCCUGAUCCAGCCAUCCCGCGUGUGCGAUGAAGGCCUUCGGGUUGUAAAGCACUUUUGGCAGGAAAGAAACGUCGCGGGCUAAUACCCCGUGGAACUGACGGUACCUGCAGAAUAAGCACCGGCUAACUACGUG